This 680-nucleotide long non-coding RNA is filed under the name Homo sapiens (human). RNAcentral describes it as "HSALNT0390678". Lineage: Eukaryota; Metazoa; Chordata; Mammalia; Primates; Hominidae. The record is from RNAcentral.
CCAGGGGGUUCGAUUCCUUCCUUUUUUGUCUAGAUUUUAUGUAUACGGGUUCUUCGAAUGUGUGGUAGGGUGGGGCGCAUCCAUAUAGUCACUCCAGGUUUAUGGAGGGUUCUUCUAUUAUUAGGACUUUUCGCUUUGAAGCGAAGGCUUCUCAAAUCAUGAAAAUUAUUAAUAUUACUGCUGUUAGGGAAAUGAAUGAGCCUACAGAUGAUAGGAUAUUUCAUGUGGUGUAUGCAUCGGGGUAGUCCGAGUAACGUCGGGGUAUUCCAGAUAGGCCAAGAAAGUGUUGUGGGAAGAAAGUUAGGUUUACGCCGAUGAAUAUGAUAGCGAAAUGGAUUUUAGCGUAGGUUUGGUCUAGGGUGUAGCCUGAGAAUAGGGGAAAUCAGUGAAUGAAGCCCCCUAUGAUGGCGAAUACAGCUCCUAUUGAUAGGACGUAGUGGAAGUGGGCUACGACGUAGUAUGUGUCGUGUAGUACGAUGUCUAGUGAUGAGUUUGCUAAUACAAUGCCAGUUAGGCCGCCUACAGUGAAGAGAAAAAUGAAUCCCAGGGCUCAGAGCACCGCAGCAGAUCAUUUCAUAUUGCUUCCGUGGAGUGUAGCGAGUCAGCUAAAUACUUUGACGCCGGUGGGAAUAGCGAUGAUUAUGGUAGCGGAGGUGAAAUAUGCUCAGAUAAGAAAAGCA